Unclassified non-coding RNA from Macaca fascicularis (crab-eating macaque), 147 nucleotides. It matches the Rfam family "Metazoan signal recognition particle RNA". Rfam says of the family: The signal recognition particle (SRP) is a universally conserved ribonucleoprotein. Lineage: Eukaryota; Metazoa; Chordata; Mammalia; Primates; Cercopithecidae. The record is from Ensembl.
GCUGGGUGUGGUGGUGGGCGCCUGUAGUCCCAGCUACUGGGAGGCUGAGGCAGGAGAAUCACUUGAACCCAGGAGGCGGAGGUUGCAGUGAGCCAAGAUCACGCCACUGCACUCCAGCCUGGGCAACAGAGUAAGAUUCUGUCUCUA